Molecule: long non-coding RNA, 398 nt
Organism: Syngnathoides biaculeatus (alligator pipefish)
Lineage: Eukaryota; Metazoa; Chordata; Actinopteri; Syngnathiformes; Syngnathidae
Exons: 4
Source: RefSeq, a predicted model, not a curated record
GAAACAGCAGGAGAGAUGUGGAGCACCACCCAAGCUCCAAAACAAGAACCACAAGGGUAGCUCAUGGGUCGCAGGGAGUUCUGGAGCCUAUCCCAGCUGUCAACGGGCAGGAGACGAGAGUGGAGAUGGAGCGGUCACUGGAGAGAUAUGAAAAUGAGUUCUGUCUUCUCAAUGAGUAUUCCACUCACGGCGUCCUGACCUUGAGGUUUGGAUUCCUGGCCAGGCAGGUACAGCUGGUUCUGGAAUACAAAGCAUGGAUCAUAGAACAAGAUGGUGGUAGCUAAACUGGAAAAUAUACUUCUUGAGUCUGUCUUCUGUCAAGAUGAGUUAAAAUGCAAAAAUUUGUGUGGAUUUCUAUUCACAUGGGCUGUUUUUUUCUUUUCUCUGAUGCCUGUUGA